UACGGAGGGGGCUAGCGUUGUUCGGAAUUACUGGGCGUAAAGCGCACGUAGGCGGCUUUGUAAGUUAGAGGUGAAAGCCCCGGGCUCAACCUGGGAAUGGCAUAGGAAACUGGCGGACUCGAGUGUGGCAGAGGGGGGUGGAAUUCCGCGUGUAGCAGUGAAAUGCGUAGAGAUGCGGAGGAACACCGAUGGCGAAGGCAGCCCCCUGGGCUAACACUGACGCUCAGGCACGAAAGCGUGGGGAGCAAACAGG
RNAcentral lists this ribosomal RNA (253 nucleotides) under uncultured bacterium. Its description in RNAcentral is "partial 16S ribosomal RNA". It matches the Rfam family "Bacterial small subunit ribosomal RNA", at positions 524 to 776 of the family's 1533-position model. The record is from RNAcentral.